UACGUAGGUGGCAAGCGUUACUCGGAAUUACUAGGCGUAAAGCGCAGGUAGGCGGUUGGGCAAGUCCGUAAUGAAAUCUCCCGGCUUAACUGGGAGGGGUUUAGGGAUACUGCCUGACUCGAGUGUGGUAGAGGUAACUGGAAUUCCCGGUGUAGCGGUGAAAUGCGUAGAGAUCGGGAGGAACACCUAUGGCGAAAGCAGGUUACUGGACCAAUACUGACGCUGAGCUGCGAAAGCUAGGGGAGCAAACAGG
RNAcentral lists this ribosomal RNA (253 nucleotides) under uncultured prokaryote. Its description in RNAcentral is "partial 16S ribosomal RNA". It matches the Rfam family "Bacterial small subunit ribosomal RNA", at positions 524 to 776 of the family's 1533-position model. The record is from RNAcentral.